This 301-nucleotide ribosomal RNA is filed under the name uncultured bacterium. RNAcentral's name for it is "partial 16S ribosomal RNA". It matches the Rfam family "Bacterial small subunit ribosomal RNA", at positions 509 to 807 of the family's 1533-position model. The record is from RNAcentral.
CAGUAGCCGCGGUAAUACGGAGGGUGCGAGCGUUAAUCGGAAUUACUGGGCGUAAAGCGUACGCAGGCGGUUUGUUAAGUCAGAUGUGAAAUCCCCGAGCUUAACUCGGGAACUGCAUUUGUGACUGGCGAGCUAGAGUAUGGCAGAGGGGGGUAGAAUUCCACGUGUAGCAGUGAAAUGCGUAGAGAUGUGGAGGAAUACCGAUGGCGAAGGCAGCCCCCUGGGCCAAUACUGACGCUCAUGCACGAAAGCGUGGGGAGCAAACAGGAUUAGAUACCCCGGUAGUCCCUGUCUCUUAUAC